UCGCUGCAUGUUAGCUUCGGUUUUGUUUGUGAUGUCGACCUUCUGUCUGAUUACCUUUUCUUUUCCGGCUUAUAUAUAUGCUACUAGUGCGCGUACCUAUGUGUGUGAUUCACUCAGGUCAGGACGCAUGAGCUAGCAAUGAUGUUCAGGAUGCCGUUUUUGUCUGCACGCAUGCCAAAUGGUAGGCAGCACACGUUGGAGAGCAAAGCCGGCUGGCGUGAUACACUUCCUGCACUUUCGCACACAGGCUUGCAUGCAAAGUAGGCGUUCACGGUAAAAUCCAAAAACUUUUUAAGAUUUUUUAUUACACAUCAAAUCUUACAGCACAUGCAUAGAGCAAUAAAUAUAGUUUAAAAAAAAUAAUUAAUUACACAGUUUGUCUGUAAUUUGAAAAACGAAUCUUUUGAGCCUAGUUAGUCUAUGAUUGGACAAUAAUUAUCAAAUAUAAACAAAAGUGCUACGAUAUCUAGACCCAAAAAAAUUUGAAUCUAAACAAGGCCUUAAUACUAAACCAAAUAAAUAGUACUCCUUAGGGCACCUCCAGGGUGCAGGCGAACCAUGCAAGCAGUUAUAAAACGAACACAGCUUAAAGUUCGAUAGCUAUAGUGUGUACAUGUGUAACACCCUAAAAAUUGUUACCUUGUAAAAUAGAGUUAAAAUGAUUUAUUUAUGAAUUUUGUGCUCAUGAAACAUAGGAAAAAAUAUAUUUUUCAUUAAAAUAAAAUUUAUUAUAGGAUUUAGCAACUUGUUUGAGCAUUCAUGUUGGAGCAUUUAUUUUCAUUUUAUUGUGUGAUUUUGAGCAAAGUCAAAAUAUUUUUGAAUUGUUUUGAAACUGCUUUGAAAAGACUUUGAAAUAAAAAAAGGAAACAAACAAAAGAAAAAGGAAAAAAACCUUCCCCCUCUCCAUCUUUGGCCCGAAGGCCUGGCCCCUCCCUUCCCUCGGCCUCGGCCCAACCCAGCGCGUCACUCCCUUUCCUUUUCCCCUCUCUCGGCCUGGUGGCCCAGCAGAGCAAGCAGGCCGGCCCAAAUCCUGGCCUUAUCGGGCGCACCUCCCUCUCCCUCUGUUUUCUCUCCUCUUUGGCUGACACCGUGACCCCACCCGUCAAUCACCUCCCUUUUCUUCUUCCUUGGGCGUGAGCGAGCCGGACUCCUGUCCAGGCCAAAAAUCGGCGCCCCGAUCCCGUUUUCUCCGGGAUUUUUCCUUCCUAACGCGCUCUACCGAAUCAUAUAGAAGCUUAUAACCACCCAGCGUGCUUUUCUCAUCUUUCCAUCACCGAAAGCCGCCUCUGGAGCCGAUUUAGAUCUCGCCGUCGAGCUCUGCUCAACCGCUGCCGUGGAAGCUACAACUCACAACCGUUCUGGCGAAUUCGAGACUUGGCCGAGUUUCGCAUCGAUCCUACGAAGACGCUGAGCCCUUUGCUUUGCUCCCUAUCGGUUUUUGUGGAGCCCAAAUCGCCGCCGAAGUUGGGGCGGAACACCCGAGCCGCCAUACCGAGCACCGCACCGCCCCCGCGUCCUCUCUGCUUUCGUUCUC
This 1534-nucleotide long non-coding RNA is filed under the name Sorghum bicolor (sorghum). Its description in RNAcentral is "long non-coding RNA (SBIC_LNC017144)". The record is from RNAcentral. Lineage: Eukaryota; Viridiplantae; Streptophyta; Magnoliopsida; Poales; Poaceae.